Non-coding RNA from Nothobranchius furzeri (turquoise killifish), 759 nucleotides. NCBI's taxonomy places the organism in Eukaryota, Metazoa, Chordata, Actinopteri, Cyprinodontiformes, Nothobranchiidae. The record is from RefSeq and is a predicted model, not a curated record.
GUGUCUCAAUUCAGGGUCUGCAUCCUACCUCGGCCGGAUUCGUCGGCCGGUUACGUCACAGCGCCGCGACUCGGCCUGUCCCAAUUCGAAGACUCCUUCAAAUGCGGUCGACGAAUGCGGCCUUCUUUUCGCCUGAAUGAAGGAUGGGUCGGGUGUAUCCUUCAAUAGGUAGCAUUUCCCAAGAUGCCUUGCGGGCCGGCCGGCAGAAAAACUUAAAAACAAUGGCGGACAGUGAAGCGGGAGCUGUCGGAGAGGAUUGCGCAUAUAAAUGUAAGUAUAAACUUGAAAACUGUCAGUUUAAGGACUUUUUGUGAUACAUGAACGUUAUUUUAGUUAGAAAUGUUACAGUAAAAGUGCUUGUAUUGCGGUCUCGGCUCGUAUGUUCGGCCGCGCUCGGUGUCGUACUUCUCCCACUACGUUUCCCCCUGAUUUUAAUAGAAGUUUGUAUUUUAGGACCAAAAGAGAAAACCAGGGAAUUUAUUAAGCUUAGGGCGGAGAUGGACCACAUGAUCACCGGAGCAAAGUAUUCGGCGGCUGUGGCAUGGAGACUAUUCUGGAGAAAAUGGGCAUCCAGGGGAAGGUGCCAGCGAUGAGCUUCUGGAGCUGAUCUGGGAGGACAUGAGGCUGCAGAGCAGCAGAGAGCACAGGAGAGAAGGAAGAACUUUGACAGCUUUUUACUUUGCUAGAAAAAAAUGGUUAAUGAAGAUUAAACAUGUACAUGUAAAAGAAAUAUCUAAAUAAAAUCAGUUCUGCAUUAAA